UACAGAGGUCUCAAGCGUUGCUCGGAAUCACUGGGCGUAAAGGGUGCGUAGGCCGCACGGUAAGUCAGAGGUGAAAUCCCGGAGCUCAACUUCGGAAUUGCCUCCGAUACUGCCGUGCUUGAGGACUGGAGAGGAGAUUGGAAUUCACAGUGGAGCAGUGAAAUGCGUAGAUAUUGUGAGGAACACUAGUGGCGAAGGCGAAUCUCUGGACAGUUCCUGACGCUGAGGCACGAAGGCCAGGGGAGCAAACGGG
RNAcentral lists this ribosomal RNA (253 nucleotides) under uncultured bacterium. Its description in RNAcentral is "partial 16S ribosomal RNA". It matches the Rfam family "Bacterial small subunit ribosomal RNA", at positions 524 to 776 of the family's 1533-position model. The record is from RNAcentral.